CCUGAUGUGGCCCAGCGGUAGGGCGUCCGGCUAUGGACCGGAAGGGCGCGGGUUCAAAUCCCGCCAUCAGGC
Molecule: transfer RNA, 72 nt
Filed under: Deltaproteobacteria bacterium
Lineage: Bacteria; Pseudomonadati; Myxococcota; Myxococcia
Description: tRNA-His
Rfam family: tRNA
About the family: Transfer RNA (tRNA) molecules are approximately 80 nucleotides in length. Their secondary structure includes four short double-helical elements and three loops (D, anti-codon, and T loops).
Source: RNAcentral